This 496-nucleotide ribosomal RNA is filed under the name uncultured bacterium. RNAcentral describes it as "partial 16S ribosomal RNA". It matches the Rfam family "Bacterial small subunit ribosomal RNA", at positions 28 to 506 of the family's 1533-position model. The record is from RNAcentral.
GAUGAACGCUGGCGGCGUGCCUAAUACAUGCAAGUCGAGCGAACAGACGAGGAGCUUGCUCCUCUGACGUUAGCGGCGGACGGGUGAGUAACACGUGGAUAACCUACCUAUAAGACUGGGAUAACUUCGGGAAACCGGAGCUAAUACCGGAGAAUAUAUUGAACCGCAUGGUUCAAUAGUGAAAGACGGUUUUGCUGUCACUUAUAGAUGGAUACGCGCCGCAUUAGCUAGUUGGUAGGGUAACGGCUUACCAAGGCGACGAUGCGUAACCGACCGUAGGGGGGGAAGGGCCACACUGGAGGUGAGACACGGCCCUGACACUGACGGGCGGCAGCAGCACGGAAUGGUCCGAAAUGGGCGAAAGCCUGACGGAGCAACGCAGCGUGGGUGAUGAAGGUCUUCGGGUCGUAAAACGCCCUUCUGGUUGAAGAACAAAUGUGUAAGUAACGAUGCGCGUCUGAACGGAAUCGAUACAGAAAGCCCCGCCUAACUCGGU